RNAcentral lists this long non-coding RNA (1166 nucleotides) under Sorghum bicolor (sorghum). RNAcentral's name for it is "long non-coding RNA (SBIC_LNC004153)". The record is from RNAcentral. Lineage: Eukaryota; Viridiplantae; Streptophyta; Magnoliopsida; Poales; Poaceae.
CUGAUGAAACUCCUUCAUUUAAUGAUCCUGCCAAGUCAACAAUUUUGCUUAUGUGGCACCCUAUUUAAUGUGCAUGACACUCCCAUGAAACAUGUAUUGAGACUGGCCUUAGCUAACCGCCUACCAUAGAGAGGGAUCGGACCAUCAUGGUGACAAAAAUGCUACUCCUUUGCCCGCUAAUUGCAAGUCUUUGCAACCAGUUGCGGUCCAACAAAAUCUUUUAGGCAAAUUUCAAUGGAGAUUUCAUGGAGUUCCAAUGCCAUUAGAUAUGGGGACAUGGUACUAUGUUAAUAAAGAGAGACAUAAUGAAAGUUCUAUAGUAAUAGAGAGAGUUUUAUGGAGAUAAAACUUUUUUGUACUAUUUCUAAAAUAUGGGUGCGUUAGAAUUGGGAGAUGAAACCUCUGAUUGGCCUUAGCAUCCAUCGAUGCACCAUUAGAUCUCCUCUUGUCCUCGCUAAUCGAAUUGGGUGUUGGGUUCUUUUCCUCAACACAUCAGUAUGUUGACAUUUAUAUUUAUAUCUAUAUCAUAUCAAAGAGGUAAAAUUUCACUUCAACUAUUUUUUUCCAUCCACCUCUUCCUAAUAACUACCUAUGUGGAUGGAAGAUGGAAGUCAGAUAGGUAGUUUCCUCUUAAUUUUCCACCUGCAUGCAGUCCACUAAUCCAUGGUGGUUGCGACUCUUCUUUUGUUUUCCUUUUUUGCAAGGAAACUGUUUCCCAGGACUCCAUGGUGGUUUUCAAUUCUUUUUUGUUUUUGGAUUAUUUUCUCAACAACACAGUUUGUGAUUUCUGUUUUGUCUUUUGUUUUCUUGUUUUUUUCCACUGCCGAGUUUUGUUUUCCUAUAUGAGAUCACAUUUGCAAUUCAACAGGAUACCACUUUUUCCAAAUCCAACAUGUGAUCACAUUUGCAAUCCAAAACUAGCAUAAUCCAAUCCAAAUUCAAUAUGAUAUCACUUUUCAAGCAGCACAUGUGUAGGCCAUGGUAUGGAGUUCAACUUUGAGAUGUACCUGAUGGUGAGGACAUCAUCGACUCAGAUAUGACCAUGUUAACCACUUCUAAACCAAAGUUGCAAUCAUUCUAUAUGAGGCUUAUUAUUGAUAUAGAUUUGAGUGAUUUGGUGCUACACAAUUAAGUGUGUAUAUUUUCAUUUUUAGAAUUACUUACAU